GAGCGGUAGAGAGAAGCUUGCUUCUCUUGAGAGCGGCGGACGGGUGAGUAAUGCCUAGGAAUCUGCCUGGUAGUGGGGGAUAACGCUCGGAAACGGACGCUAAUACCGCAUACGUCCUACGGGAGAAAGCAGGGGACCUUCGGGCCUUGCGCUAUCAGAUGAGCCUAGGUCGGAUUAGCUAGUUGGUGAGGUAAUGGCUCACCAAGGCGACGAUCCGUAACUGGUCUGAGAGGAUGAUCAGUCACACUGGAACUGAGACACGGUCCAGACUCCUACGGGAGGCAGCAGUGGGGAAUAUUGGACAAUGGGCGAAAGCCUGAUCCAGCCAUGCCGCGUGUGUGAAGAAGGUCUUCGGAUUGUAAAGCACUUUAAGUUGGGAGGAAGGGCAUUAACCUAAUACGUUGGUGUCUUGACGUUACCGACAGAAUAAGCACCGGCUAACUCUGUGCCAGCAGCCGCGGUAAUACAGAGGGUGCAAGCGUUAAUCGGAAUUACUGGGCGUAAAGCGCGCGUAGGUGGUUCGUUAAGUUGGAUGUGAAAUCC
RNAcentral lists this ribosomal RNA (543 nucleotides) under Pseudomonas corrugata. Its description in RNAcentral is "bacterial SSU rRNA". It matches the Rfam family "Bacterial small subunit ribosomal RNA", at positions 64 to 602 of the family's 1533-position model. Lineage: Bacteria; Pseudomonadati; Pseudomonadota; Gammaproteobacteria; Pseudomonadales; Pseudomonadaceae. The record is from RNAcentral.